AGAGGAUUGGCUGAGCGGCGAAAGCAACAGUCUUGAAAACUGUAGGAUGUUAACAGCGUCCCAAGGGUACAAACUUAUCCUCUGCCA
Molecule: transfer RNA, 87 nt
Filed under: Vibrio sp. V15_P4S5T153
Lineage: Bacteria; Pseudomonadati; Pseudomonadota; Gammaproteobacteria; Vibrionales; Vibrionaceae
Also listed under: 1 other name
Description: tRNA-Ser
Rfam family: tRNA
About the family: Transfer RNA (tRNA) molecules are approximately 80 nucleotides in length.
Source: RNAcentral